RNAcentral lists this transfer RNA (73 nucleotides) under Comaster schlegelii. Its description in RNAcentral is "tRNA-Gly". It matches the Rfam family "tRNA". From Rfam's summary of the family: Transfer RNA (tRNA) molecules are approximately 80 nucleotides in length. Their secondary structure includes four short double-helical elements and three loops (D, anti-codon, and T loops). Lineage: Eukaryota; Metazoa; Echinodermata; Crinoidea; Comatulida; Comatulidae. The record is from RNAcentral.
CCCUUAUUAGUAUUAAUUACAUGUACAUUUGACUUCCAAUCAAAAAGCCUUAGUUAAAAUCUAAGAUAAGGUA